This 329-nucleotide long non-coding RNA is filed under the name Homo sapiens (human). RNAcentral's name for it is "non-protein coding lnc-IL27-1:10". The record is from RNAcentral. Lineage: Eukaryota; Metazoa; Chordata; Mammalia; Primates; Hominidae.
GGCUGUGCUCCUGGCGGACAUCCUCCCCACACUCGUCAUCAAAUUGUUGGCUCCUCUUGGCCUUCACCUGCUGCCCUACACCCCCGGGUUCUCGUCAGUGGGAUUUGUGCUGCUGGAAGCUUCGUCCUGGUUGCCUUUUCUCAUUCUGUGGGGACCAGCCUGUGUGCUCCAGCUCCAGCCUCUCCCUUCGGGAAAGGUGGACAGUGUUCAAGGUCUGCUGUGGUACAUUGUUCCCUUGGUCGUAGUUUACUUUGCCGAGUAUUUCAUUAACCAGGGACUUUUGAACUCCUCUUUUUCUGGAACACUUCCCUGAGUCACGCUCAGCAAUA